Molecule: long non-coding RNA, 207 nt
Filed under: Nicotiana benthamiana
Lineage: Eukaryota; Viridiplantae; Streptophyta; Magnoliopsida; Solanales; Solanaceae
Description: long non-coding RNA (NBEN_LNC000234)
Source: RNAcentral
GAAGGAGAAGGAAAAAAAAUCCUAGCUUUAGGGGAACGAGAUUGAUCACUGAAGAAAUGCUAGCUCCUUUGCUAGGCAAGAAUGAAAUUAUCUCGAUCCGUAAAAGUAAAAAAAGGCUUCGAUUUUUUUAUAGCUAAGCUAAGAAUAGAUAGAAAGGGGGAGCCGCUAGGCGAGAGGGCUAGACGCACCUGCAUUUAUAUGACCAGA